AGGACAUCCAAGCAUGUCCUACAGGCUCUGCUCUUUGUCUAAGUCCUUGUGCUGUAGGGAAGAUGGGGCAUUUUGGACACUGCACUUUUCUCUUGCUCUUGUUUUGGGGUUUCAGGGUUGGGAUGUGGGAUUCUUUUCUCUUUGUUACUACCAGGGCUGGUUCUCACUGAUUUCUUUUAACAAAGUCCUGUCUGCUUUUCUGUUCUGCCUGCAGAGAUCCCAGACAAGUGUGAGAGAUCCCAAGUGAGCUGCGCAUCCCACGAGCAGUUAAACAUCCCAGUUUACACUGCAUUUCCAGACUUCCUUCUGGCCACACUGGUCUCUGGAUGGAAGAAAGGUCGUCACAGAACUUGCCUCUGCUGCUAUGGAGCUCCUCCAGCUAUGGCAUUGGAAGAGGAUGACAUUAGUGUGCCCACAUCACCCCUUCCAGGGAAUCUGGUGAUGCUCCAGAGCUGCACUGACGUUGAUGCUCCUGGGAAGCACCCAAAAAUGACCUCAGCCUAGACGAGGUGACAGUCCCAGGACCUCCUGCAAAAUGUCAUGGCCAUGCCGCCUCUUCCAGGGUCCCGCGCCAGCUCAGGGCUGGCUCUUGAGCAACGACUGAUGGCGAUAGGGGAGGAGGAAGGAGUAUCUGCCCAAACACAGGCUGUUGGAAGCAUUCUCGUAAGCAUUGGUUUCUUCCUCUCAUGGGUACGGCUCCAGCUCUCCUAGGUGCUGACUCGUGUGUGGAGUAGGAUGGGGACAGUGGUGUCCAUAUCAAUGGAUCAUGAGUUUGAUCUGAAGAUGAAUUCAAUCACGGGGGGGCUCAUGAAGUUGAGGCACUGGUCCAGCCGGGUCUCAUGUGCCA
Pezoporus occidentalis (night parrot) is the source of this 847-nucleotide long non-coding RNA. RefSeq lists it as uncharacterized. The transcript has 3 exons. NCBI's taxonomy places the organism in Eukaryota, Metazoa, Chordata, Aves, Psittaciformes, Psittacidae. The record is from RefSeq and is a predicted model, not a curated record.